Medicago truncatula (barrel medic) is the source of this 267-nucleotide microRNA precursor. It matches the Rfam family "MIR2655 microRNA precursor family". Lineage: Eukaryota; Viridiplantae; Streptophyta; Magnoliopsida; Fabales; Fabaceae. The record is from Rfam.
CCCAUAAGUAAUAAAAAGUCCGUUUAGGUCCCUUAACUUUAUUUAAAGUAUCAGUUUGGUCCUUUCUGUUAAUUUAAUUCAAAAAAACGUUAAGUUGAGGGACCAAAUUAAUACUAAUUAAAUAAGUUAAGGGACCAAACUAAUACUAAUUAAAUAAGUUAAGAGACCAAAAUUUAACAUUUUUUUAAAUUAAAUUAACAGAAAGGACCAAACCGAUACUUUAAAUAAAGUUAAGGGACCUAAACGGACUUUUUAUUACUUAUGGGA